This 120-nucleotide ribosomal RNA is filed under the name Jaculus jaculus (lesser Egyptian jerboa). Lineage: Eukaryota; Metazoa; Chordata; Mammalia; Rodentia; Dipodidae. The record is from RNAcentral.
GUCUGUGGCCUUACCACACCUGAAGGUGCCCUAUCUUGUCCGAUCUCAGAAGUUAAGCAGGGUCAGUCCUGGUUAGUACCUUGGAUGGGAGUUCCUCUUAGGCAUAGCAGGCAACAGAAG